UUCCCGCGCUUCUUCUAGCGGAGCUCCGACUUUCUCGCGAGGAGCAGCGCGCUGAUUGGCGGGCGGCGCUGGAGAGCUGAGCUGAUUGGCUAGGGACCGAGAGGCGGGAAGAGGGGGCUCGGGGCUGACGUGGUGUGAGGCAGAGGGAGCUCUGGGGGGUGAAGGGUGAGGUGGCGGUUGUGUACCCGUUCCCGUGGCCGUCUUCGGCGUCGGCUUUCUGACAGAAAAAGGGACUGGGACGUGCCCUGCUUCCAUGUGGCUGCUGCCCUGGCCACCCGGGAGGCCGUUCUGGGGGAAAAAGGGGUCCCAGCACUUCCCGUUCGUCCAAGCCUGGAGGUUUCUAGAGCUUUCUAGAAGGAAGUAGUGUUUGCUCUUUUGAACUAAGAACCCAACAUCAGAUAUCCUCGUGGCAGUUUGACCUGUAGGGCCUUGGGCUGGCCAGACCUCACCGAUGUGCUGUUAGGAAAGAAAGUUGCGGUGCGUGCUCCUGUGAGAUCUGCUGCUGAAACACUUAGACUUGGGGCAACCCUGAUGUGUCCAUGUCUUAUCCUUAACACGUUCCACUUUUCUAGUGUGUAAAUGAUAAUUUGAAGAGCUUGCUGUUGCCCGUACUGAAGGCAUUUUGGCAGUCCUGUUUUUGCAGUGUUUCAGCAAAUGAUUUAGGAUUGCAGGCCCAUUAAUUAGCAGGAAAAAUGCCUGUUGGUAGUGAUUAAUUUUGUUUUAGACAAUGGUGUUGAAGCCAUUUCACAGUCUAUGCUUAGAUAUGUGUAGACCUGUGUUGUGAAGGGGCCAGACCUGAAUAGUGAUUUUUAUGUCUUGAACAAUUUCAAAGAUGAUAAUUACAGUCAAAAGAAAGGCUGUGUCCAGGCUCCCUGAGUGGUUUGAGUUUGGUUUGAUUCUCAACAGGGCCAGAGCAAGCCCUCCAGCUGUGGAGUUGUUAGAUUUUAGUUCUGCAUUAGCAACCUUAGUUCCACAGCCUGGGGAUGUUAAUGAAACCUGUUAGAGAAGGACUGCAGAAACAACUCGCUUGGUAUGGCAGGAUUUGGGGGAGGUUUAGGGAAUGAAGAAAAGGAUGAUGAGAGGAUCAAGUAGAGGACCGGUUCAUUGAAACAGAGAAUUUGAUAGCACAUGUACAAAAAUUGCAUUAGUGCACAUAAUGGAGAAAUAAAACAAUGCAGAUGUGGAGGUUGCUGACUAAGAUGAGAAAUGGGAAGAAAUACAGCCUAAGAAGUGAGGCAACACGAGAAGAGCCAGCCACUGUAGCUGCAAACAUCAUUCUAACUUCUCGGCAACUGUGUGAAAGAACAGGAAUGACUAACAGAUGUUGGUCUGCAAAAAAAAAAGUGUCCUUUUGGCAUAUGAAAUGGAACUCAUCAGCAUCAAGGCUUUACCUUCUGGAAAUUUUUGCCAGUUUCUAGGACUGGAGGUCUGUGCAAAGUGAAGAAAAAUAUUCAUGGGCAUAGGCUGAAAUACAGUGCUUGGAGGAUUUAGUCUUUGCUCACUUUCAGGGAAUGCCUUCAGGAGCAAAUGCAGCGUGAAUUUCCAUGGCAUUCUUAGCUCCUGAUAGUUGGAGCUGCCAGCAGUGGUGAUGGGCUUGGUGAUUCCCUGUGAAUCCUCUUCUCUGUAACAUCUGUCCUUGCAAGCACAGCAGUAACUGCAGCACCUGUGUUCUUGACUCAUCAAAGGAAGCAAUCCUAGAAAGUGCCAAGUGCACUUUAGUUGUCUCUCAGUAACAGCGUAGCAGCUGGAGAAGGAAGCCUCAGCAGCAUUGCACAUCCAGAUGACCUCUGCAGCCCACCAGGAAGGGCCGUAGAGACUUCACAGGUUACAGAGCACAGCACAGGAACCUCUGUCAGCUGGGAUGGGAGACCACUGAGGAAUUCCAGGUGAGCUUAAAAAAGGAUGUCACAGGGAACAGCAUUAACCUCUCUGGGCUCUUCUGCACCACAACAGCACUAGUUCAAAACUGAAGAUCCAUGAGAUUCAGCGUGCAAAAAUAAGCUGACAGAGGCUUGAAAUGGGUUGUAUCUCCCUCGUAACAGCUGGUAGCCUGAACAGACACACAUUACUGCUCACUGGGAAGUUUGGAAACAUGCAGGCUUGUGUAUUGUGCUUUUCCAUAGGACCUCUGACCACCUAACAGAACUCAGAAGGGCUCCGGUGGAAGAUGUUAUAGCCUUGACCUGCUUCCACCAGGCUUCCUUGUGUCCCUCCUUGUGUCUCGGAUUUAAAAGGACUGGGUAUAAGACUGACGACGUCCGCACCAAAGUGAAGCUAUCUUUAAAUGCCUCCAAAGCUUGGAAACCCAAGGUUGCCCUAAGAGCUUCCAUCAGCAUGCAGGAUCUCCAGAAGUGCUGUUCAUGUCAACACAGUUGGCCAAAGCAGAAAGCCUAUAGUUUGGGCCAGGAAAGACAGUGGCAUGACUAUCCUCAGCUGUCUGCAUUGGACAGAGAUGGGAAUGUACAGCACGUGCUCAUCAGUGAGUUGCACAUUCACAGCAAACCACUUGGGCUUCUUUCUCCUGCUACUAAGGAGUUCCUAAUGCUGAAUUCUUCAUCACCUGAAGACUUUUUCUGUUCAGGAUGGAUGUGGUCCUCUCAUGCUUACGUGACACUUUUAUCUAUGCAAGCAUAUUCAAAAUAUACUGUAAAUGGUCCCCCAAAAGAAAGUGAAUGAUGAGUCCUUGAUCGAUUUGGACAAGUCGCUGCUUAGUGUAAGCCAUAAAGAAUGACUAUAAUGUCCUGACAACAUUGUGAACAUUUGGCUACAGGAGAUCAAGCUCAAAGACUGUGUGGGUGACUCUUAGCCCUAAAGAUCGUCAACGGAGGAGUCAGAGCUUGUCUGAUGGUGCUGCUGAUCCCCAUUCAGCAACGCAUUUAAGCAUCUGUUUAUGGCUGUUACAGUCCUGUGGCCAUUCAUCCCGCAAACUGCAGGGGAGCAUGUUUACAGUGGAUUCCCACAUCAGAAGUAGUGACAUCAGUGAUUCCUCUUGCAAUUUCCCAUCGGUGCCCCAGGGACAGGGCUGGUCUUCCUUUGGUAGCACGCGCUGAGGUCUGGGGACAGCAGGUGCUGUGAUACGCCGAAGUGCUCAUGCUCUCCUGAGGCGUUAAAGCCAGGGGUCUGCAGACAAGCUAAGGUUGCUUGAGCCAGAGCAUGAGGUUAUUCCCCUCUGAGCCUGCGGUCUCUGCAGCCCCAGGAGAAGCUCUGAUCCACUCCCUCUUCUCCCUUGAGGCAGGAGCUGCGGGGAAUCCUUGUUAUCCCAAGAGGACCUGCUGGAAGCUCUGCGUACUGUUUCUUCUCCUGUAUACUUAGUGCUGAUGAGCCUACUACAGGUGGGUAGCUCCACAUGGCCACAGCUCGCACGUGCUGAGCACCACAGCAUCCUGCGACCACGUCCCAUGCAACGGCCUCCCUGGGAGAGGAGGGAGCAGCCCGCAGCGAUGUUUGCCUCCCCACGAGCAGGACUGGGGGCUCUCACUUCCACGGCAGUGCGUGGCAGAUACUGUUUAUUUAAUUCUCCUGCGAGGCAGUGGUAAUGUACGUCCAGGAGAAUAUAAUUGCUUUCCUCUUUGUCUUGAAGCUGUAAACUAUUUUCAGUUGUAUUAAAAAAACAGUGUAGGAACAAAACAUGUUUGGGAAUUAUAAUCGCCAUUGCCUCAAGGUUUUCCUGAUUUUUCUUCUCAGAAGAGCUUGGUCCUGCCACAUGCAGGAAUGUCUUCAUCGCAUCGUGUUGUGUAUGGCAGCAUGGGAUCAGCUGGGGGACCACGGGGGAAAGGACUGCAGAGGCUGGUUUGGCUGUGGAAGGGACAGUGAGGCAGCAGCUCCUUCAGACAGUUCAAGGGCACACUUGUGAUUUGGAUGUGCUCAGCUAGCUGUACAUCAUUAUGGAGCCAUUAGGGCCGUGGCUUGGCAGCAGCUGUGACAUUAAAAUGUAUAAGAUGUUACCAAAGGAAGCACUUGGCAAAAUUUUUUUGGCUUCCCUAGACAUAAACAACAAAUUUUCUCUACAAUGGUAAGUUAUGACUGGGGGUGAGUCACUAAUAUAUUUAGAAGGAUGUCCUCUCCAGAGGCCACAGCUGGCUAAAUUAAGCCAAGACAGGGUAACCCUCGUGGUUGAGGGGCACAGUGGGGAAUUCCCAGAUGGCUUCCUAAAAUCUGCCUGUUACACACUGCUGCCGUUCCACGUGAGAGCUCUGCAGGAGCUCUCUGAAUCUGUGCAGGACAGACCCUCCAGUGCUAGAAAUAGGUAUGAGGAGGCAUACUAGUGCAAGGUGUCUUAGUCUUGUAGCUUCCUGGUAGCUUCAGGGAGGUGCCCGUCGUGGAACUCAACUCCUGUGGCUAUCUGGAGAUAAAAUGUAGUUUUUGUGUCUGAAAAGCCAUUUCUGAAACUUUGAUUUCAACUUUUGGGUUAACCUAGUGCUCAGGAGCUUUUAUAUCUUGCCCAGGCUAUAAGAUAAGUUCUUUAUGUUACACCUUGCCUUCGACGAGAAAGUAUGGCGAAGAUGUAGUGUCGUGGUCAGUUCAGAAGAAUCCACAGAAAUGAUCUGCAGCUUGGAGAAGUGUAUCUUCAUUCCUGGGUGAUGUAGUAACAGCUUAGCUUGUACAGCUGAUUUAACAAAAAUAUUUAUUUCAGUGAAAUUAAUUCCAGCUCACUUUUAGUUUCUUCUUUUAGAAUUUUUCCCCGUUCUUUCGUUUGGCUCUUGAUGAGGUGAGAGUUGCAGUGAUGGCAUGUAGAGACUCUUGUUUGCAAUAACAUCGUUCUAACAAUGCAGUCUUAUGAGGAGGACCAUAAGGCUGCAUGUGGCCAUAUGCACUGCCACACCAACACCAUGAUGUCGAAAUUCAAGUGGAAAGGACUUCACAUCUGCCUGGUAAUGUAACAAAGCAAUAUUAACAUUUUCAUAAAAUGUUCUGAAAGCAGUUUGGUUUGGCUCGCCGUUCAGAUACUCAAGCCAAAGAGACUGUCCUGAGAGUGGUGUAAGUAUAGAAGCAAUACAGAGCACUAAAUGAGGUUGCAGGAUGUGAAGUGCCAUUUUGAGAAGGCAGUUAAUGAGGCAGAGCUUUGUAAAAUCCCUUGUUUUUCUGCCUGUGCCCACAUACCUGAAAAAACGUAAGAAUCCUCUGCACACAGUGCUGUACAGUUUGGGGACAUUGUUUUCAUCCUGAUGCUCCCUAAGAUCACAAGAAGCAUGACCUUUACUUGAUAUUUUUUUCAUGUUUAUUUGAUAAUUUUCUCAAUUAUCCAAAGUUUAGAAAUAGAUGCUUGCCAAGUAUUGCAAGAUGGUCAUUGUAAUCACUGCAAGUGAUUAUAAAGAGUGAACUUAAUUCAUCUGUCCAACACAAAAAGACAUCAGCGGGGAUUUUUAACCCAGCAGCAGAAGAAAUAACAUGAACUGGUAGGUGGGAACCUCAAGGUGACCAUUUCUGAACAUCAAAACUUAAACAAAUAUCAACACUGAAUAAUGAAACGUUGCUGCAUUCUACCCCUAACUCAGCCACAGCUGAGAGGGGUAAGAGCAGGAACCGGAGGUUGGAAUCCCACUGCCGUUGGGACAGAGGUUGAAUCAGAGUGGUUUUAACAAUUCCUUCAACCCUAGAUACUUUUUAUUGCAGCUGGACUUGCCAGACUGAGCCUGUUGGGGUCCUGGGUAACUGUCUGUGUAUGCCUGGACAGACUUUUAUUUGCAUGCUAGUUGGGAAAUGGUUGUCGUUUGUAUGUGUACUUUUAUUUACAUGUGAACAAGAGUAUUUGUUCUUCAUCAGCCUUUGUUCUCCUAUUUUUAAAAGGCUUACUCAUCCCCUCAAAGAUUAGAAUCAGCUCCAUCUGAUUUAGGUGACAGUUCUCACCCCAUGAGCAGCAAGAAAUUGAAAUGAACUGUUCCUGGAAUGAGCCGUUGUUGAUCCAGGCUGUCCAACAAGUACUUGAAUAACAAAUAUCUCUUACCAAACCAAUGUUGGUUCAUGAACAGAGAAAAAGAAUGAAGUUCACUGGAUUACUUGUUUGCGAAACAUAGUUCAGCCCUUUCUUUGCCAAAGUCUAGCUGUCAGGAACUAGAUCCUUAACUGCUAUAAACCAACUCAACUCAUUGACUUCAGUGGGGAGGUGACAGUUUACACUAAGUGAUCAUCCAGCCUCAAAAGUGCAGCAGGACAGCAGUGUGAAAAAAACAAAUGAGGGGGAAUGGUAGCAAAACAUUUCAGGAUAGCCAGAGAGAUUCCUGGGAUAAAUUGCAGAUACGGUCUGUUUUUUGCGAAGAUAAGUUUUUUCAUCUCUUAUCUCCUCUUUCUCUUAGUGCUAGCAAAGAUCAAAUGUGAAGCAAAACUUGCAAGGAGGGGUAAGGUUAGCAUGGGUGAUGCAGCAGGGGGAAUGGAUUUAGGAACAAAUCUCUUCCUCUUGUCAAUUUUUUGCUCUCCUUUGUAUCAGUUGGUGCGACAAGGAUUGGGGUUGGUUCUCCAGCUAGAAAAAGUGCUGUGCUCAUGUUGCUGGAUCAUCACGGCUACAGGAACACCAUCUGAUCAAACACAUCAGAUUUUCCACUGAAGUUGUGUUUAUUGGCUUAGCAGUGCAACUGGCGUGAGUGUAGAAAUCCCAGCAAUUUCCAAGGUUUGAAACAGAAUCAGUUGCUUGAUCCUGUCCUCUCUCGUUCGGUCAUGAGGCAGUUGUAUAAGGAGGCAUCGCGCCCAAAGAGGGAACACUGCGAAACAGUAAAUUCUUCAGACCAGGUGAGCAUUGUUGCAGUGUUCAGCAUGGUAUGGUGGUAAAGAAUUUUAGUGAUUUUUAACAUUCAUGUUUGUCUUUGGGUAAUGAUUAUGUGGGAUUUGUGCCUACUUGAACUCCAAGCAGGUUUGAAGUGAGCCAAGCUCAGGAGUUAGCUGCUGUAUACGCUGAUGCUACAGAGGUAGUGCUAAGUCAAGCAAACAUAUAAGGAAGAUUAACUCAUCUAAAUGAAACAAGCCUAAGGAGUAAAGCAAUAAUAAAACGGAUUGCCUUACAUUGAAAAUGGGUCUCUGGGUGUGUUGAGGUGUGAGGGUCUAAGAGGUGGACCCAUGGUGACCUCUGGCUUCAGCUGGGCUGGAAAAGAAUCUUAAUGGCAAAGUUCCCCUCCUGUCAGAAUGGCAAAAGCCAUCCUUCCACACUAAGCAACUUUCUAUUAAUAUUUUUGGAGCUAAUUUGCUAUCAUUUAGCAUGUUAUAUUCAUGGCACUUGGAAAGAGGAAUUAAAUAAGGCACAUAAUUAAGGGUUAUUAGCAUUAUUCAUUACCAGUGUUGUAAUGUUUAGAGGCCAUUCUCGAGUUGCUUUUCCCUAUAGCUUAUACAAACACAGAAGAAAAGAGUUCUCCAAGAUGUUUUAAUUCAGGAACACUGUUAAAAUAAAUGCCCACCAAAAUGUAAAGCAAGAUCUCUUUUCUAAUGAACUGACACUAGCUGCUUCUCAGGGUAUGCCAAUGACUGACCUUAUUGCUUGCUUGCCAUUCAUGUUUCAUGGAUGAAAAAAAUGCUGGUAUGAGAUUUCCAAAUUACUUCUGCAGCAAGUAAUGCCAGCAGAAGUGUUUUGAAAGAAUUGAUCUGUAAAAUUGUCUAAAUGCCAGGGCACACACUGCAUACUCUAAUAGCUGACGGGCUGGGGAAUCUCAGUCUAACUGUAGGAGGCAUUUCUAACACACUUUUGGGGAAGGUAACAAAAAUCUGGAAGUUGACUGUGGGGUUUUAAACCACCUUAAAACGAGGUUAGUGAACAGCUUCUCCAUUAUCCUGUUACAUGUCAGGAGUCCUUCCACAUCUGUUACGGGGAAUAGCCCAACUCCAACAAAGCCAUAGUAGCUGAAGGUUUGGCCCACGAAGUAUAUCCAAAAUACUGCAAAUUCCUACAAAAAGGAAUCCUUCGUCCCCAUUAGCAUUUCAACACACACUCACUACGGAGAUCUCACUGGGGGUAAAGCAUUAAAACCCUUUCAGAAGUGGUUUAGCUGGCUAAUUAGACAAUAAGCAUAAACCUGGUGCAUCCAGCUGUACAAAUAAAACGUGACUUUAAAGUUUAAUGUCCUGCGCACGGAGUAGUCGUGAACUUGGAGCCAGGAUGGGCUGAGGGGAAGGUGGCUGCCUUACAGCUCGGUAGUGUCUGCAGGCCGAAACCUUUGGAGACCGAAAAGAGCGUUUAUUUUGCGUGUAACUAAAAGGAACUAAGUACCAGUUACCGCAAAUAGGGCGAUCUUUAUCUUCCUUUGUUGGCCUGCUUGGAGGGAAAAGAAUCUGAAAAGACUGGCGCAGCCGCAGGCUCCGCAAAGAGGAGAUCUCCCUCACAUUGCUGACAUGUCUCUCAUUUUUUGGGUGCUGCCUUACUGCUGAAGGAAAUUAACAGGUCAUUUUAAUGCCCUGGUCCGCCCUUGGCUCCUGGGUAGGUGUGAUCAAGUAGCUAAACGCUUACAGAGCUGACAUUGCUCCCCUCCACCUUAAUGCAUCUGUGUUUAAGGAAAAUCGGGUUCCUCUCGGGCAGUUUUUUGACUUUGGCUAUCUCGGAGCGGCACCUGUAAGCGCUCACUUUGAGAGAUUGCUAAUGUGCUAAUUACCCAGGACCCAAAAAUGCAAGCUGUAAACAAAUGAGGGCUGUAUUUAUAAUCAAUCAAUUUUAUGACCUUCUGAUGGCGAUGAUAUCAGUGGAGUUUACAUUGGGAGCCCUUGUACUCCCCCAGGGCAGCUGUGCCCGUAUGUUUUAGUUGCAGUUCGAAGAAGAUUUUGCUAAUUCAUUUUAUAGGAGGUGUGCUUAAGAAAAAUAUUACCUUUCCUAAACAGCUGAGCCCGUUACCAAGUCUCAUUUUUAAAUAAUGAAAACAUGGGGACUGUCAGUACCUCGAGGCUGUAUUGUCAGAUACGGGCUGUUUUCAAAACAGCCACGGCAGAAAGUAAUGACUUCAGAGCAAAAUAUUGUUCUCAUUGGUAUAAGUUGCUGUGAGACAAAUCCCACACCCUCUGAUGGCAAUGGAAAGACUCCGGUUGACUUCAAAGAGGACUGGAUCAGGCCCUAAAAGAAAUGUUGCCAUCGUAAACCACCACAAAUGCUUUAUGGUUCGUACGUUUUAAAACGUUCUGCUCGCUGGUGAUCUUCUGUGCAGCCUACCUGGCUGCAUGCAACUUGUGAUUUUUGUGUUUGCUUUGCAAUGACACAAGAAUGCCCAUAAAGUCUGAUUUGUGAAGUGUCAAAAUGAUGUCCUGGAAAGCCACACAAUGCCAAGGUAUACAAGAUGCCCUGUAAUACCUCAGCAUGAGGAAGGCCAUCCAACUUCCCCGAUGUUACUAAGUUCUCACAAAGAAAAACAAUGCUGUUUAGCCAUAGACAGAUGUAGUAAAAACAGCUGGAUUUUGUGCCCCAGUUCUUUUAUUGGAAUCCUUAGCUUUUCAAUCUAAAUUCAGAUUAGAGUUUGAGGACAGGACUGUUUCCUACGUUUUCCAAAGCUUUGAUUUGAGCAAGUUUUAAAAAUGGGACAGGAUGGGGACCUGUGUCCAUGGUUAUGAGCCCCUCGAGCUGGAAGCCCAGAGAUAUCUUUAUUAGCUCCAGAUCAGCAGCAGAUGCAAGCCAUUCAGCGAAAGCUCUUUCUCUCGGCAUCGUACCCUGCUUUAAACAUGGGUUAUAAAUGUGAUUUUUUCCUUAGGGUUGUCAAGGACGUGGCUCUGCAGAGAGGAUCAGAGCUCCGUUUCGUCCUGCGUCGUAUCUCCUGUGAGCAGAUGCCUCAGAAGACCACGCUGGAGCCCUGAGGCUGGAUGAUCGAUGAAACCAGUCAACCAAAAGGUGCUCUGCAAUGCUCCCCAGCUCCUACAAAGUCAGUCAGUGCACAAGGACAUUGCCACGGCUCCAUGGCUGUAGUGGACUCACUGAUUUUCGGCUGGUGGAGCUGAGGGAGGUAUUUUGCCCAAAGCAUCUCAGAAAUGCCUGUGAUUUCAGUUUCCAACAUGACUCUGAGCUGGGGAAUGAGAACGUGCCAGGAGUGUCAGUGACAGCUUUAGAAAUGGAUUGUUUGCAUAAACUUGAAAACAGUACAAGCAUAAAUGUAUUUCCUUUGUUUAACUUUUCACUCUUGUUUACUCGUCUCUGCUUCUAAAAGGCUUUGCAAGUAAACUCUGCAAAUCUUUAAGUUUUGCAGGCAUUAAUGGGGGCUGGGAGUUCUGGGAUCUCUCCUCGGCCCUGCUGUUAGCUGAGGCGCCGGGUAGGCCCGUAGGCCUCUGAUCCACAAGCCACUGGAACCAGCAGGAAGAUUUUUAUUUAAUUCACCUUGAAUCAGUCCCCAAACCUCUGUUGAGGCCCUUGGGGUUUUGUUACACCCUGGGGACAGCACCCAUCUCCUUGGUGCUGCAGAUCCUGGUGAGUCUCGGCCCCUUCUCCCAGUGCCUCAGAGGCAUGUGGGCAACGCAGGAAGGGGACCUGAAAAUCAGACAGGCUCAGGGCUUCCUCAGGGCACCCGAGGUAGAACAAGACUUCUAUGGACUGUAGUUUUAUUUGGUAAGGAAGAAUUGCUUAGGCUGUGAGAUUUUGUGGGAAAUAACUGGUUUUUAAACCUGUGUUUUUCACCACCAGUGCAGUGAAGCCCUGACCUGUGUGUGCUGGGGAGGAGGGAGAGGAGCUUCAGCUGUACAACAAAUAAAAAUCUGGGGCUCCUGUUGCAUUUCAUAAAUUCCCCCUCCCCUGCAUUUACCUAGUCAAUCACCUUAUUAAACCUGUGCAUAUACCUCUGUUUGGGCUGUCCUUCUUCUGCAUGGAUAUAAAUUUUGGAUGCUGACAUUGGUGGAUGAUAGGUAAAUGGCCACUAAAAUGGCCAUCUUUCUCCUUGCCUCAUGGCAUCUGUAGGGGACUUAAGAAACCCACAAAGAAAGAGGACCAGGACAGCAUGCAGGCCUCUUGCUUGGAGGCUCCCAGUUCGACUGGAAAGGCCUGACUUCACCAUCCCAUAGCUGCACACAUGACUGGGCCUGGGGAAUUUGUUUCCUGUGAUUGCCACUCACCUGUGGGAGGAAGGCUUGAAAGCCAGGUCAGGCAGAAGUGUUUGGGCCCCAUGCGACACAUUGAGCAGCCGGCAUGUCCUGUGCAGCUUUUAAAACCAGGGCAGGCCAGAAGCAGCUGUAGUUGGGCUCUGGAGCAUAAAGAACGGUGUUUUAUAACUGGUCGCUGUUCUAGGGCUUGCACAUUGCCCCUGUGGGGUCUCUAAAAUUCAACAGAGAAAAUUGUCAGAAGGCUCAGAUUUACUCUGCAGUAGUCCACACUAGUACCCGAGCGUUUGUGGGGUUUCUGCAGUUCUGAUGUGCUGAACAUGACUGGCUCAGAAAAAAAGACCUGUUCUUGCAGUGAAGACUCUGAACCAGCACAUACAAGUGCUGGUUUCCCUCGGAUUUCCAGAGCAGCACUGGACAAGUUACUUGAGCCCAAAUCUGCAAAUGUACAGUGCAGGUGGACUCCUAUUGAGAUAAAUAGGAACGAAACAUCUAAACAUCUUUGUAGAUCUGAACCCUUACCUAUUCUGAAAGUGGGGGCAGCAAUCAUAUAUUUCUUCAACUUUCUGCCAGUCUAGUUUAUUUAGACUAAAAAUUGGUGAGAAUAAUACUGUUUUCUUGGUAUGUAUGCAUGGACCCUGGCAUGAGAUUUGUCUCAGCCAAGUCCUUCAAGCACUACCACAUGCCAGAUUUGUCAGAGAGUCUUGUGUUAAAUGAGAGAGUCUGCAAUGCAAUAACAGAUUCGUCUUCAUUUUGGUCCUUGUUUUUACCCUGAUUUCCUAAGGGAAAACAAAGUUUUAUGCAGUCAUGCUCAGGGUGACUGUUCAGGUGUGUGGGUCCCUGGCCCUGCUUUUUGCCCUAUCGCUCUCUGUCUGUAGGCCAAUUUCACCCAAAUCUGAGAGAGUCUCAAAAACAAUCAAUGGCCAAACAUUGUAUAGAGACCUAAUUAGUCCUCCUAGUGCGGAGAAAUCUAAACUCAACCCUUAUAAGACAUCAGAAGAUGGAAAAGAGGAAGAAAAGGUGAAAAUGUGAGAUCACGGUGUGAUGUGAGUAGGUACCAAAGAAUCCACCUUUCAUUUAAAGUGGUAAUUUUGUGUGGAUUCUCUAGUGUUUAAUACGAUGCAGAGUGGAUGAUGACUUUCAGCUGGAACUCCUCUCUCUCCCAUGAUGAUUCUCUGGUGUCUUAUACAGGGCAAGUUCACACUGCAGGCAGGACUCGGUCAAGCAGUCGGUCAUCCACAGGGCAUCAGCCUAAAGAGACCCAGGCUUCCUGAGGCCCAGAGCUAACGUAGCUGCUUGUUUUUCUAUGUGUGUGUGCACUUCAAUGAAGAGAGGUGGUCUGCAGACUCUGAGGGUCAUUCUGGGGAUCUCCAGACAUAUAAAGUCAAGCAAUUUCUUGUGUAAGUGACCCCAACAAGGUCAGAGUAAUGACAAGUGUGUGGGACUGCUCGCACCAGUAGUUAUCCACUAUUGUGCAAACUCUUGUCCUCAGGACAUGAAUACUCCUACCUGCCUCACGUGCUAUUUGAGGAGCUGUGACUACUCAGUAUUGCUCAAUCUUGCAGGAAAUCAUUAUCUCCAACAUUUCACUUCUCUGAAAUUGUCUCUUACCUCAAAAUAAGCCCUGCAGUCCCCUGACUGACAAAGGUUUCACUUGAUAUCAUUACUUUUCCUUUCUCUUUUAAAGUUUGUAGAGUUACCAGCAGUGUCUUUUCCAGAUACAAUCUUUGGAGCAGAACAUUAACUCAGUGCAUUCACUCAGGAAGGUGUUUGUGUUUCCACUAGCCUAAGGACAGCAAGGAGGAUUUUACACAUCUGUAACGCAUGUGGUCACCCUGGAUCUUUUCCUUGACUCCCUACCUAAAUAGCCGGCGUGGAUUGGAUGCUAAGCAACAUUCAGACUUGGUGAGCCUCUCAUCUUGUCAGCUGUGUAUUAAGGCACAUACAGUCAUUUGGCGUAACAGUGCGAUUGUUGUAGCUUUGUUUAAUCCUGCCUCCUUUACCUUUCUGUAAGUCAGUACCACCAUCUGUUCUGAAAGCUGUGCACCAGCCCCUUGGCCCCCGCAGCACUGGAUGAAACCUUUCCAGGGCUCUGUGCUGGAUCAUCCAGGGGCCAUAUGGAGCUGCCUAAGAGGCAAGGAAAGCUCUUCUCACACUCCAAGAUUGCUGCCUUCCUUGCGAGAUUACAGCUCCAAGAGACAAAGCUGCAUCUAAGCUUGGACUGUGCAUACAAUGGUAGAAAGCUCAGUUACUAUCACUGCUUGUGAAGGAUAAUUAAUGUGAAAGUACUUUUCUUGAGCUGCCUGGUAGGUCCCCAUUUCAGCUUUGUUCAGUAAAGCACUUAAGCAUGUGCUUAAAAUUAAGUGUGCUGCUGACUGGAGGCCUUGGACAAUAAAUAUGCUACUGGAAAUGUAUCUGGGCCAUACAUUUAUUAGUCUGCCUAAAAGCCCUGUUAUUUCUUCUUCAGUUCUGAUGUAAAUCACGUCUUUCAAAAGCCACAGUUGUGGGUAAAUGUCUGAUUUUGAUAGGCGUUGCGUAUUGCAGCUAUGGCUGAUUUUAAAUAAACUUAUAGAUUCCCAGUACAUCUGCAAAUGAGACACAGCUUGGUUCCUUUCAGUGGUUAAGUGUUUUUUGAGAAAUCUCUCUUUGAACUACCCAUCUGCAGGCUUUUUCUUUUUACUGUCUGUGUGGCCAUCCUGCAAUUACCUGUGGGUUUAUGAUCCUUCUCUAGAGAACAAGUUGGUUGGAUAGCUUGACGGUAAAGAAAGAUGGGGGUGAUAAAAUGGGGCAGAGUAUGAUAUCAGUUACAAGUGUCAAACGAGUGUCCCUCCAGAUUUACACUGCUGCAACUUCACUAUGGAUCUUGCUCCAAGAUUUGCCGUAAAUGGUCGUUGCAAUAUUUUUGGAGUUUAUUCUGUUGAAUAAAAGUGUAUCAUCAAGAAUUGUGUGUCUUCGUGACUGCAGUGAAGAUAGGCUGGAGCGUGCAACUCAUUGGCAAAGCAAAUGGAAAGUAAAUCUGUGGGAGCGGGAGGAAGAAACUAGAACAUGUUUUUAAAAGGUUUACGGCUAGCAAUUUAUUUCCUUCACCCUGGUUCAAUGCUGGGCAACAGUAAACAACGAAGGAGCCAAAAUUCCCUCUGAAAUUGAAGUGACCACACAAAGAAAGGCUGUAAUUCUCCAAAGCAGCGAUAGAUUUUGGGAACCUGCUUGCAUUACUCUGAAAGGACUGGGGGAGUUCAGGUGAGCGGUCAAGCCCCCUUGGAAAACUUGAUUUCUAUGAGCUGGAUGGCAAACAGAUCACCAAAUCAUCAUUU
RNA transcript from Cygnus olor (mute swan), 14291 nucleotides. RefSeq lists it as uncharacterized. Lineage: Eukaryota; Metazoa; Chordata; Aves; Anseriformes; Anatidae. The record is from RefSeq and is a predicted model, not a curated record. The transcript has 15 exons.